GAGCACGCGCGUGUGGCAUAUCAAUAAGCGGAGGAAAAGAAACUAACAAGGAUCCCUUAGUAACGGCGAGUGAAGCGGGAAGAGCUCAAAUUUGAAAUCUUCAAGGUUCUACCUUGACGAAUUGUAGUUUAUAGAAGUGUUUUCUGUUAGUAGAGUGGCAAAAGUUCUUUGGAAUAGGACAUCAUAGAGGGUGAGAAUCCCGUAUUUGGUCAUUCCUCCUAGCUUUGUGAUACACUUUCAAAGAGUCGGAUUGUUUGGGAAUGCAGUCCAAAAUGGGUGGUAAAUUUCAUCUAAAGCUAAAUAUUGGCGAGAGACCGAUCGCGAACAAGUACCGUGAGGGAAAGAUGAAAAGAACUUUGAAAAGAGAGUUAAACAGUACGUGAAAUUGUCAAAAGGGAAGCGUUUGACACCAGUGUUGUUUUUCCGAAAAUCAAUUACGAAUGUUUUGUUUUUGAGGAAGUUAUGACUUCAUCGGCUUGCUUCUUUCUUUAUGAAACUUUCUUAAUGCACUUUUCGGUUAACAAGUCAACAUCAAUUUCUUUUGUUGUAAAAGGGUAUGAGGAAGGUGGCUUUCUUUUCGGAGAAAGUGUUUAUAGCCUUGUACCUCUGCAAUCGGAGAGAUUGAGGUCUGCAGCGUAGAUCCUUCGGGGUUAGAUACAUUUGUGCUAAGUUAUAGCCUUUUCAUAGGACAACUUGUUGACUAUGAUUAAGUCUUGUAGCUUACUCGCUUAUGCUAUUUUACCUACGCUUAGGAUGUUGAACUCUAUCACACACAG
RNAcentral lists this ribosomal RNA (776 nucleotides) under uncultured Neocallimastigales. RNAcentral's name for it is "partial large subunit ribosomal RNA". It matches the Rfam family "Eukaryotic large subunit ribosomal RNA", at positions 19 to 621 of the family's 3401-position model. The record is from RNAcentral. Lineage: Eukaryota; Fungi; Neocallimastigomycota; Neocallimastigomycetes; Neocallimastigales.